UUGAGCGGUAGCAAUCUUCAACGGACGAUAUCUUCCUUAUUUUCUUUCUAUUGCGAUAAAAUUGCUGAACUUUAACCUAAAAAUGAUAAAGUUAAAUCGAUAUAUUCCCGAGAAGCUACGCUAAAGAUACUGCCUAAACUAUUUGAGAUGGUACAAAGCAUAUUCCACACCAAUAGAUGUUUUUACAAGUAGAUCAAAUACGUUGGAGGCACACAAAAUCGAAAAAUCCCAAAAUUCAGUUGAAAAAGAUUCAAUGUUUGGAUUAAAAACCCUGACAUAUCGCAGCAACGCCGGAUGCUUCACCAUAGAUAUGACUGAUUACGUCACACUAAUGGUAAAAGACGAUGUAGACACACCAUAUAAUGCAGAAAUACAAAUAUUAUUUUUU
Long non-coding RNA from Dendroctonus ponderosae (mountain pine beetle), 388 nucleotides. RefSeq lists it as uncharacterized. The record is from RefSeq and is a predicted model, not a curated record. The transcript is spliced from 2 exons. Lineage: Eukaryota; Metazoa; Arthropoda; Insecta; Coleoptera; Curculionidae.